RNAcentral lists this ribosomal RNA (585 nucleotides) under uncultured bacterium. RNAcentral's name for it is "bacterial SSU rRNA". It matches the Rfam family "Bacterial small subunit ribosomal RNA", at positions 338 to 916 of the family's 1533-position model. The record is from RNAcentral.
CCUACGGGAGGCAGCAGUGGGGAAUUUUGGACAAUGGGCGCAAGCCUGAUCCAGCAAUGCCGCGUGAGUGAAGAAGGCCUUCGGGUUGUAAAGCUCUUUUGUCAGGGAAGAAAAGGGAUUGGCUAAUAUCUGGUCCUCAUGACGGUACCUGAAGAAUAAGCACCGGCUAACUACGUGCCAGCAGCCGCGGUAAUACGUAGGGUGCAAGCGUUAAUCGGAAUUACUGGGCGUAAAGCGUGCGCAGGCGGUUUUGUAAGACUGUCGUGAAAUCCCCGGGCUUAACCUGGGAAUGGCGAUGGUGACUGCAAGGCUAGAGUUUGGCAGAGGGGGGUAGAAUUCCACGUGUAGCAGUGAAAUGCGUAGAUAUGUGGAGGAACACCGAUGGCGAAGGCAGCCCCCUGGGUCAAAACUGACGCUCAUGCACGAAAGCGUGGGGAGCAAACAGGAUUAGAUACCCUGGUAGUCCACGCCCUAAACGAUGUCUACUAGUUGUCGGGUCUUAAUUGACUUGGUAACGCAGCUAACGCGUGAAGUAGACCGCCUGGGGAGUACGGUCGCAAGAUUAAAACUUAAAUGAAUUGACGG